Molecule: non-coding RNA, 212 nt
Filed under: Clostridiales bacterium
Lineage: Bacteria; Bacillati; Bacillota; Clostridia; Eubacteriales
Description: T-box sequence
Rfam family: T-box leader
About the family: Uncharged tRNA acts as the effector for transcription antitermination of genes in the T-box leader family. T-boxes are found upstream of many aminoacyl-tRNA synthetase genes and some amino acid biosynthetic genes usually in Gram-positive bacteria. The anticodon of a specific tRNA base pairs to a specifier sequence within the T-box motif, and the NCCA acceptor tail of the tRNA base pairs to a conserved bulge in the T-box antiterminator hairpin.
Source: RNAcentral
UGAAAUUCAAUGAAGAUGAGGAGUAAUCUUUGGUAAUCAUUAGAGAGGUGAACCUAGUGCUGAAAGUUCACUUGAUGAAAGAAGAUGAAGGUCGCAUCUGAGAAGAUUUGGUAAGUCAAUAGCCAAAUCCGGUUUGCGCCGUUAAAGCGUUGAGGUGUCAUCUAGAAGCUUAGAUGAAAUUAGGGUGGUAACGCGGAGCUUUCGUCCCUUGG